GUGUAAAGCCCCUUCGACGAGUCGAGUUGUUUGGGAAUGCAGCUCUAAAUGGGAGAUAAAUUUCUUCUAAAGCUAAAUAUUGGCCAGAGACCGAUAGCGCACAAGUAGAGUGAUCGAAAGAUGAAAAGCACUUUGGAAAGAGAGUCAAAAAGCACGUGAAAUUGUUGAAAGGGAAGCGCUUGCAGCCAGACGUGCCCGCAGUUGCUCACCUAGGCUUUUGCCUGGGGCACUCUUCUGCGGGCAGGCCAGCAUCAGUUCGGGCGGUUGGAUAAAGGCCUCUAUCACGUAUCUUCCUUCGGGAUGACCUUAUAGGGGAGGCGCAACACGGCCAGCCUGAACUGAGGACCGCGCAUCAGCUAGGAUGCUGGCGUAAUGGCUGUAAGCGGCCCGUCUUGAAACACGGACCAAGGAGUCUAACAUCUAUGCGAGUGUUUGGGUGUCAAGCCCGGACGCGCAAUGAAAGUGAACGGAGGUGGGAACCUUUCGGGGUGCACCAUCGACCGAUCCUGAAGUCUUCGGAUGGAUUUGAGUAAGAGCAUAGCUGUUGGGACCCGAAAGAUGGUGAACUAUGCCUGAAUAGGGUGAAGCCAGGGGAAACCCUGGUGGAGGCUCGCAGCGGUUCUGACGUGCAAAUCGAUCGUCAAAUUUGGGCAU
Molecule: ribosomal RNA, 654 nt
Filed under: Roussoella sp. HJ-2017a
Lineage: Eukaryota; Fungi; Ascomycota; Dothideomycetes; Pleosporales; Thyridariaceae
Description: eukaryotic LSU rRNA
Rfam family: Eukaryotic large subunit ribosomal RNA
Source: RNAcentral